Molecule: ribosomal RNA, 117 nt
Filed under: Paramormyrops kingsleyae
Lineage: Eukaryota; Metazoa; Chordata; Actinopteri; Osteoglossiformes; Mormyridae
Source: RNAcentral
GCCAACAACUAUGUCACCUUUAGUUCAGACUAGAUAAUUCACCUGAAGCUGAGCAGGUUUGGGCCUGAUCAGUACUCGGAUGGGAAACUAAUAAGGAAAGCCGGGUUGCUGCUGGAA